This 74-nucleotide small RNA is filed under the name Xanthomonas campestris. RNAcentral describes it as "sX9 sRNA". It matches the Rfam family "Xanthomonas sRNA sX9". Lineage: Bacteria; Pseudomonadati; Pseudomonadota; Gammaproteobacteria; Lysobacterales; Lysobacteraceae. The record is from RNAcentral. RNAcentral also lists the same sequence under 2 other names.
AUGCACUCCGUACACCCCGGUUCCUCCGCGCUGUCCGCAACCACCUGACGACUGCUCGCUACGUUUUGUUACCC